RNAcentral lists this ribosomal RNA (777 nucleotides) under Triticum aestivum (bread wheat). RNAcentral describes it as "partial small subunit ribosomal RNA". Lineage: Eukaryota; Viridiplantae; Streptophyta; Magnoliopsida; Poales; Poaceae. The record is from RNAcentral.
AUGGCAUGGUGGAUUUCUGUGGUAUAUGCGCCGCAAGGGAACAGGCCAAAAACCCAGUUCCUCCAUGAUCUAAGCGCCAGGAGGGCUGUCUGCCCGGGGCCGUGGAUGAUUCUCGGAGACUUUAACAUGAUCCUUCGAGCGAUGGAGAAAAACAACACCAACAUCAACAGGGCGAUGAUGGCAAAGUUCAGAGGUUUUUUGGACACCCAUGAGCUAAAGGAGCUGUACAUGCACGGUCGGUCGUUUACUUGGUCCAAUGAGAGGGGUACUCCGACGCUCACCAAAAUUGACAGGGUGUUAGUCUCGGUUGACUGGGAGUUGGCACACCCAGAGAACUUGCUACAGGUGCUAUCAUCGGGAGUUUCAGAUCAUGCGCCUCUGCACCUAUCCACCAACGCCCACUUCUAUCAAAAGAAGAGAUUUCGCUUCGAGGUGUAUUGGACAAGGCUCGAUGGUUUUGAUGAAGCGAUCCGGGACGCGUGGGUAUGCGAUGAGUCCAUUGUGGACCCUUUCAAAAAGCUCGAUGCUUUAUUCAAAAAUGUGAUGACUUAUCUUCAGGCAUGGGGACAGAGGAAGACGGGCAAUAUCAAGAUCCUCAUGACAGUGGCAAAUUGGCUGAUAUUCAGAUUCAACCAGGUGCAGGAAGAGAGGAUCCUGACUGACAUGGAGAUCUGGCUACGAAGAACCUUGAAGCUCACUCUACUUGGGUUAGCCUCGCUCGAGAGAACCAUGAGCGCAAAGAUCGCGUCUCAGAUGGCUAAAAGAAGGGGACGCUAA